Non-coding RNA from Hydra vulgaris (swiftwater hydra), 1789 nucleotides. NCBI's taxonomy places the organism in Eukaryota, Metazoa, Cnidaria, Hydrozoa, Anthoathecata, Hydridae. The record is from RefSeq and is a predicted model, not a curated record.
GUUUUCUGCAACGUCAUAAAUGGUGAUUGGCUUUCCUGGAUUUGACAGCAUCCAAUCACUACAAGCUGUGCUGUAAUAUUUCUUUAAAGGUCCAAAAACACCUCUGUCUAAUGGCUGAAGCUUAUGGCUGGUAUAUGAAGGAAGGUGACCGAAAGUUUUUAAAUGAGAAACUACAAGAAAAAAACUUAUCAAGCUAACUGGAACGAAGAUGACAUUAAAAAUGCUAUUACAGCAGUAAAGUUAAAGCAGAUGUCUUUAUUAAAUGCUUGUAAAAACGUUAGUGUGCCAAAAGAUCCACUACAUCUGAGUAUUAAAAAGGCUUCACUUGAAAGUAAUUUACAUACUAAUUUACUUGGAAGAUUUAGAAAAGUUACUUUCUGAUAUUUAAGAACAAGGGUUAAAUAAGUAUAUUAAAGAUAUGAACAAUUUAUUUUUUGGUUUCUCUAUUAGACUUUUUAAAACGCCAUCCUAAUUUAUCAUUAAAAAAACCAGAAACAAUGUCUAUAAACAGAGUAUUUGGUUUGAAUGAAGAUAAUGUUAAAACGUAAUUUAGCAAUUUAGAGAAUUUGUCGGAUAAAUAUCACUUUGAGCCACAUUAAAUUUGUAAUUGUGAUGAGUCUGGGUUGUUAUGCGUCCAUAAGCCAUUAAAAUUUAUCUUAUCUGCAAGAAAACGGUGUAUUUCAUCAGUGACAAGUGGGGAAAAUGGAGUCACAACAACAAUUUUAUGUGAAUGUAAUUCUGUUGGUCAUUAUGUACCACCCAUGAUGAUAUUUAAGCCCCCAAAAAAAGAAAUUAUUACUCACAGAUAACGCUACAGCUUGAACUAUUCAAGGAUGCUCAGAAAAUGACUGGGUUAACACUGAUUUAUUUCUUGAAUAUAUACAACAUUUUAUUAAACAUGUACGAUGCACCUUAAAAAUUAAAAUUUUAUAUUUUAACAUCGUACAUGUUUAACUUUAUUAAACAUGUACGAUGCACCUUAAAAGCUUAAAAAUUAUAGACUAUGCUCGUGACAAUGGAUUGUUUUUGCUAUCGCUACCACCGCACACAACUCUUAAACCUCAACCAUUGGACCCCGGAUUUCUUAAACCUUUGAAAACCUUUUUUAAUCAAGCAUGAAUGAGAUGAAUGUGAAACUAUUCAGAAAAAUGAUAUCAAAUAGAAAAUUUUUAAUGAAGCAUUAAGAGCUGCUAAUAUAGAAAAUCCUACUUCAAGUUUUAGAGCAACUGGAAUUGUCCCAUUUAAUCAGCAUUUAUUAGAAAACCAACUUCCAAAGAUAUCGUUGAGUGAUAAUAAUAAAAUCAGGUUAUCUAUACCAUGUGAAAUUCACUUUAAACGCAAAAACAAAAAGAAAGUGAAACUUUACAGCACCCAGAGUCGACUACAUAUGUAUUAAUGAGUCAUUAAUUUAAAGUCAAUUGAAAGCUUUUCAGAGAUCACUGUUACUUCAUCAAGUUCUUUUAAAGACAUACUUCAAAUUCCAAAACUUUAUCCUCCAAAAAGAAAAUUACCUGGAAAAAAAAAUUUACUAAAAAAGAACAAUGACAAAAAAUUAAACAAGAGAAAUAUAUAAAAAAAAAAAACAAACAAAAAGAAAAGACAACUAAAAAAAAUGCUUGAUUGAAAAAGAUGUAAACAAUGAAAAGAAAUGGUUUUGUCCAGUUUGUCAAAGCAAAUGGUGCAAUAAUUCACAAAUUGUCUGGAUAGCUUGUUGUGUAUGUACUGUUUGGGUACACAAAGACUGCACAUCAUGCUUUUUGAUUUAAAAGGAAAAUUCACAUUAUCACGA